CCUACGGGAGGCAGCAGUGGGGGAUAUUGCACAAUGGGGGAAACCCUGAUGCAGCGACGCCGCGUGAAUGAAGGAGUACUUCGGCAUGUAAACUUCUAUCAGCAGGGAAGAAGCUGACGGUUCCUGAACUAGAAGCCCCCGCCAAAUAAGGGCCAGCCGCCGCGGUAAAACGUAGGGGGCCAGCGUUAUCCGGAUUUACCGGGGGUAAAGGGAGCGGAGGCGGGUUAGCAAGGCAGAAGUGAAAGCCCGGGGCUCAACUCCGGGACUGCUUUUGAAACUGUUGGACUAGAUUGCCGGAGAGGCAGGUGGAAUUCCUGGUGUAGCGGUGAAAUGCGUAGAUAUUAGGAGGAACACCAGCGGCGAAGGCGGCCUGCUGGACUGUGAAUGACGUUGAGGCUCGAAAGCGUGGGGAGCAAACAGGAUUAGAUACCCGAGUAGUC
Molecule: ribosomal RNA, 440 nt
Filed under: uncultured bacterium
Lineage: Bacteria
Description: partial 16S ribosomal RNA
Rfam family: Bacterial small subunit ribosomal RNA
Source: RNAcentral